UGAGUAACACGUGAAUAACCUACCCUUGACUCUGGGAUAAGCCCGGGAAACUGGGUCUAAUACCGGAUAGGAACGUCCACCGCAUGGUGGUUGUUGGAAAGAUUUAUCGGUCAUGGAUGGACUCGCGGCCUAUCAGCUUGUUGGUGAGGUAAUGGCUCACCAAGGCGACGACGGGUAGCCGGCCUGAGAGGGUGACCGGCCACACUGGGACUGAGACACGGCCCAGACUCCUACGGGAGGCAGCAGUGGGGAAUAUUGCACAAUGGGCGAAAGCCUGAUGCAGCGACGCCGCGUGAGGGAUGACGGCCUUCGGGUUGUAAACCUCUUUCAGUAGGGAAGAAGCGAAAGUGACGGUACCUGCAGAAGAAGCACCGGCUAACUACGUGCCAGCAGCCGCGGUAAUACGUAGGGUGCGAGCGUUAUCCGGAAUUAUUGGGCGUAAAGAGCUCGUAGGCGGUUUGUCGCGUCUGUCGUGAAAGUCCGGGGCUUAACCCCGGAUCUGCGGUGGGUACGGGCAGACUAGAGUGCAGUAGGGGAGACUGGAAUUCCUGGUGUAGCGGUGGAAUGCGCAGAUAUCAGGAGGAACACCGAUGGCGAAGGCAGGUCUCUGGGCUGUAACUGACGCUGAGGAGCGAAAGCAUGGGGAGCGAACAGGAUUAGAUACCCUGGUAGUCCAUGCCGUAAACGUUGGGCACUAGGUGUGGGGACCAUUCCACGGUUUCCGCGCCGCAGCUAACGCAUUAAGUGCCCCGCCUGGGGAGUACGGCCGCAAGGCUAAAACUCAAAGGAAUUGACGGGGGCCCGCACAAGCGGCGGAGCAUGCGGAUUAAUUCGAUGCAACGCGAAGAACCUUACCAAGGCUUGACAUGUUCUCGAUCGCCGUAGAGAUACGGUUUCCCCUUUGGGGCGGGAUCACAGGUGGUGCAUGGUUGUCGUCAGCUCGUGUCGUGAGAUGUUGGGUUAAGUCCCGCAACGAGCGCAACCCUCGUUCCAUGUUGCCAGCACGUAGUGGUGGGGACUCAUGGAGACUGCCGGGGUCAACUCGGAGGAAGGUGGGGACGACGUCAAAUCAUCAUGCCCCUUAUGUCUUGGGCUUCACGCAUGCUACAAUGGCCGGUACAAUGGGUUGCGAUACUGUGAGGUGGAGCUAAUCCCAAAAAGCCGGUCUCAGUUCGGAUUGGGGUCUGCAACUCGACCCCAUGAAGUCGGAGUCGCUAGUAAUCGCAGAUCAGCAACGGUGCGGUGAAUACGUUC
RNAcentral lists this ribosomal RNA (1254 nucleotides) under Micrococcus sp. B6. RNAcentral describes it as "bacterial SSU rRNA". It matches the Rfam family "Bacterial small subunit ribosomal RNA", at positions 107 to 1373 of the family's 1533-position model. The record is from RNAcentral. Lineage: Bacteria; Bacillati; Actinomycetota; Actinomycetes; Micrococcales; Micrococcaceae.